GACGAACGCUGGCGGCGUGCUUAACACAUGCAAGUCGAACGGAAAGGCCCUGCUUGCCGGGUACUCGAGUGGCGAACGGGUGAGUAACACGUGGGUGAUCUGCCCUGCACUUCGGGAUAAGCCUGGGAAACUGGGUCUAAUACCGGAUAGGAGCCAUUUUUAGUGUGAUGGUUGGAAAGUUUUUUUCGGUGUAGGAUGAGCUCGCGGCCUAUCAGCUUGUUGGUGGGGUAAUGGCCUACCAAGGCGGCGACGGGUAGCCGGCCUGAGAGGGUGGACGGCCACAUUGGGACUGAGAUACGGCCCAGACUCCUACGGGAGGCAGCAGUGGGGAAUAUUGCACAAUGGGCGCAAGCCUGAUGCAGCGACGCCGCGUGGGGGAUGACGGCCUUCGGGUUGUAAACUCCUUUCGCUAGGGACGAAGCUUUUUGUGACGGUACCUAGAGAAGAAGCACCGGCUAACUACGUG
RNAcentral lists this ribosomal RNA (466 nucleotides) under uncultured bacterium. Its description in RNAcentral is "partial 16S ribosomal RNA". It matches the Rfam family "Bacterial small subunit ribosomal RNA", at positions 28 to 507 of the family's 1533-position model. The record is from RNAcentral.